AUUGAACGCUGGCGGCAGGCCUAACACAUGCAAGUCGAACGAGUGGCGGACGGGUGAGUAAUGUCUGGGAAACUGCCCGAUGGAGGGGGAAAACUACUGGAAAAGGUAGAUAAUACCGAAUACCAUAGGACGUGCCCAGAGUGGAUUAGCUAGUAGGUGGGGUAAAGGCUCACCUAGGCGACGAUCCCUAGCUGGUCUGAGAGGAUGCCCAGCCACACUGGCACUGAGACACGGUCCAGACUCCUACGGGAGGCAGCGGUGGGGAAUAUUGCACAAUGGGCGCAAGCCUGAUGCAGCCAUGCCGCGUGUAUGAAGAAGGCCUUCGGGUUGUAAAGUACUUUCAGCGAGGAGGCGUUACUCGCAGAAGAAGCACCGGCUAACUCCGUGCCAGCCGCCGCGGUAAUUC
This 406-nucleotide ribosomal RNA is filed under the name uncultured bacterium. RNAcentral's name for it is "partial 16S ribosomal RNA". It matches the Rfam family "Bacterial small subunit ribosomal RNA", at positions 30 to 526 of the family's 1533-position model. The record is from RNAcentral.